UGCAUGAUCUCCUUUUACCGAGUCUUCAUACCUCAGGCAUCCUCCUACACCAGUGGACUCUCCGACCUCCUGCGGAAAGAGAACCCCGAACCACUGGUAUGGUCAGAUGAGCUGCGGACCUGUUUCGAACAACUCAAGUCAGCACUGCACUCUCAGCCAGUCCUCAAGUUGCCUGACCCGUCACGUCCCUUCGUUUUACGGACCGAUGCAUCAAAUCAAGCCCCGGAACACCUCACUCGACCUACACUCAUCCCGAGCGAGGCUUCACACUACCCGCAGCGGAACGCCUCGAACGCCCUGCCCGAGCUCCACCGGCGCGAGUGGGGGCCCUGACGUUUCGUAGCCGAAGCAACCUCGGACGUUGGUGCGCUGAGGACGGGAGACGACUCCAGGACUCGGUCGAGCCAGCUCGCUAGGCACUGGCUCCCCUUCACCACCUAACGAGUCCUCCACCUGACGAGGCUGCUGCCGCGUUACGCCCGGCCCGGCACUGCCCUCCAUCACUCAGCCGUAGCACCGCCGCGGUCUACCCGGGGAAGACACUGUUGGCCCCGAGACCGAAUACCCGGGCCGCCCUUGCUGGCCUUACCACGCCGGCCUGCCUACCUGUCUUCCGUGGGCUGUAUGAGCGGCCUCACCACGCCGGCCGUCCUACCUGUCUCCCGUGGGCUGUGUGAGCGGCCUUACCACACCGGCCGUCCUACCUGUCUCCCGUGGGCUGUGCGAGCUGAAGUGCAUAUUAAAGACGGAGUUAACA
Eriocheir sinensis (Chinese mitten crab) is the source of this 757-nucleotide long non-coding RNA. RefSeq lists it as uncharacterized. NCBI's taxonomy places the organism in Eukaryota, Metazoa, Arthropoda, Malacostraca, Decapoda, Varunidae. The transcript is spliced from 2 exons. The record is from RefSeq and is a predicted model, not a curated record.